GCCUCCAUGAAGUUGGAUUCGCUAGUAAUCGCGCAUCAGCCAUGGCGCGGUGAAUACGUUCCCGGGCCUUGUACACACCGCCCGUCAAGCCAUGGGAGCCGGGGGUGCCUGAAGUUCGUUACCGCAAGGAUCGACCUAGGGCAAAACUGGUGACUGGGCUAAGUCGUAACAAGGUAUC
Molecule: ribosomal RNA, 178 nt
Filed under: uncultured bacterium
Lineage: Bacteria
Description: partial 16S ribosomal RNA
Rfam family: Bacterial small subunit ribosomal RNA
Source: RNAcentral